CUAACCUACCCUGAAGCGGGGAAUAACCUCGGGAAACCGGGGCUAAUACCGCAUACGUUCUCGAGGGGAAGCUCCUUGAGAGGAAACGAGCAAUCGGCUUUAGGAGGGGGUCGCGCCCGAUUACGGUAGUUGGCGGGGUAACGGCCCACCAAGCCUUUGAUCGGUAGCCGGCCUGAGAGGGCGCACGGCCACACUGGAACUGAAACACGGUCCAGACUCCUACGGGAGGCAGCAGUGGGGAAUUUUGCGCAAUGGGGGAAACCCUGACGCAGCAACGCCGCGUGGAGGAUGAAGUCCCUUGGGACGUAAACUCCUUUCGACCGGGACGAUAAUGACGGUACCGGUGGAAGAAGCCCCGGCUAACUCCGUGCCAGCAGCCGCGGUAAUACGGGGGGGGCAAGCGUUGUUCGGAAUUAUUGGGCGUAAAGGGCGCGUAGGCGGUGCGUGUAAGUCCUCUGUGAAAACCCAGGG
Molecule: ribosomal RNA, 471 nt
Filed under: uncultured Acidobacterium sp.
Lineage: Bacteria; Pseudomonadati; Acidobacteriota; Terriglobia; Terriglobales; Acidobacteriaceae
Description: bacterial SSU rRNA
Rfam family: Bacterial small subunit ribosomal RNA
Source: RNAcentral